ACGAACGCUGGCGGCAUGCCUAACACAUGCAAGUCGAACGUGAUCCGGAGCUUGCUCCGGUGAAAGUGGCGCACGGGUGAGUAACGCGUGGGAACCUGCCCAAAGGUAAGGAAUAACCGCGGGAAACUGCGGCUAAUACCUUAUGCUCCCUUCGGGGGAAAGAUUUAUCGCCUUUGGAUGGGCCCGCGUCGGAUUAGCUAGUUGGUGAGGUAACGGCUCACCAAGGCGACGAUCCGUAGCUGGUCUGAGAGGAUGAUCAGCCACACUGGGACUGAGACACGGCCCAGACUCCUACGGGAGGCAGCAGUGGGGAAUAUUGGACAAUGGGCGCAAGCCUGAUCCAGCAAUGCCGCGUGAGUGAUGAAGGCCUUAGGGUUGUAAAGCUCUUUCGGCGGGGAAGAUGAUGACGGUACCCGCAGAAGAAGCCCCGGCUAACUUCGU
This 441-nucleotide ribosomal RNA is filed under the name uncultured bacterium. RNAcentral describes it as "bacterial SSU rRNA". It matches the Rfam family "Bacterial small subunit ribosomal RNA", at positions 29 to 506 of the family's 1533-position model. The record is from RNAcentral.